RNAcentral lists this transfer RNA (72 nucleotides) under Hordeum vulgare. RNAcentral describes it as "tRNA-OTHER". The record is from RNAcentral. Lineage: Eukaryota; Viridiplantae; Streptophyta; Magnoliopsida; Poales; Poaceae.
GUAGCCAGCCCAGCUGGUUAGCGGCAGGCCUUAUAUCCAUGAGGUCAUGGGAUCAAAUCCCAUCUGCCCAUA